GAUGAACGCUAGCGACAGGCUUAACACAUGCAAGUCGAGCGACCGGCGCACGGGUGCGUAACGCGUAUGCAACUUGCCUCACAGAGGGGGAUAACGCGACGAAAGACGGACUAAUACCACGUACUGUGAGAUAGGCAUGCGUCCCAUUAGUGCGUUGGUGAGGUCACGGCUCACCAAGGCAACGCUGGGGAGGGGAAAUGAGAGGGUGAAACCCCAGAAUGGAGCUGAGACACGGACCCGACUGCGACGCGAGGCUGGAGUGAGUAACACUAGUGGAUGGGCGAGAGCAGGGCCCAGCCGAGUUGCGUGAAAGAGGACUGGCUAUGAAUUGUAUACUUCUUUUGUAGAAGAAUCGGUACCCUACGAAUAAGCAUCGGCUAACUACGUGCCAGCAGCCGCGGUAAUUC
This 407-nucleotide ribosomal RNA is filed under the name uncultured bacterium. Its description in RNAcentral is "partial 16S ribosomal RNA". It matches the Rfam family "Bacterial small subunit ribosomal RNA", at positions 28 to 526 of the family's 1533-position model. The record is from RNAcentral.